This 391-nucleotide ribosomal RNA is filed under the name Brevibacterium sp. SD1-3. RNAcentral's name for it is "bacterial SSU rRNA". It matches the Rfam family "Bacterial small subunit ribosomal RNA", at positions 51 to 433 of the family's 1533-position model. Lineage: Bacteria; Bacillati; Actinomycetota; Actinomycetes; Micrococcales; Brevibacteriaceae. The record is from RNAcentral.
ACACAUGCAAGUCGCAACGCUGAAGCCCGCAGCUUGCUGUGGGUGGAUGAGCUGGCGAACGGGUGAGUAACACGUGAGUAACCUGCCCCCGACUUCGGGAUAAGCCCGGGAAACUGCGGUCUAAUACCGGAUAUGACAACCGAAGGCAUCUUCGGUUGUGGACAAGUUUUUUCGGUUGGGGAUGGGCUCGCGGCCUAUCAGUCUGUUGGUGAGGUAAUGGCUCACCAAGACGACCACGGGUAGCCGGCCUGAGAGGGCGACCGGCCACACUGGGACUGAGACACGGCCCAGACUCCUACGGGAGGCAGCAGUGGGGAAUAUAGCACAAUGGGGGAUUCCCCGCAUGCAGCGACGCAGCGUGCGGGAUGACGGCCUUCGGGUUGUAAACCGC